GAUGAAGAACGCAGCGAAAUGCGAUAAGUAAUGUGAAUUGCAGAAUUCAGUGAAUCAUCGAAUCUUUGAACGCACAUUGCUCCCGUCAGUAUUCUGGCGGGCAUGCCUGUUCGAGCGUCAUUACGCCCCUCAAGUCCCCUGUGGACUUGGUGUUGGGGAUCGGCGAGGCUGGUUUUCCAGCACAGCCGUCCCUUAAAUUAAUUGGCGGUCUCGCCGUGGCCCUCCUCUGCGCAGUAGUAAAACACUCGCAACAGGAGCCCGGCGCGGUCCACUGCCGUAAAACCCCCCAACUUUUUAUAGUUGACCUCGAAUCAGGUAGGACUACCCGCUGAACUUAAGCAUAUCAAUAAGCGGAGGA
RNAcentral lists this unclassified non-coding RNA (358 nucleotides) under soil metagenome. RNAcentral describes it as "partial contains 5.8S ribosomal RNA, internal transcribed spacer 2, and large subunit ribosomal RNA". The stretch from base 1 to 120 matches the Rfam family "5.8S ribosomal RNA", at positions 35 to 154 of the family's 154-position model. The record is from RNAcentral.